CGGUGUUUAACUGGCGUGAUGUGGGACGUCCUACCGGUGGGCUUAGCCUCGCGAGGGGCGGCCCAACUAAUAUCCCGUCGCGGUGCUCUUUACUGAGUGUCGAGUCGGGCCGGUACGUUUACUUUGAACAAAUUAGAGUGCUUAAAGCAGGCUAUCCUCGCCUGAAUACUGCGUGCAUGGAAUAAUGGAAUAGGACCUCGGUUCUAUUUUGUUGGGUUUUCGGAACCCCGAGGUAAUGAUUAAUAGGGACAGAUGGGGGCAUUCGUAUUGCGACGUUAGAGGUGAAAAUUCUUGGAUCGUCGCAAGACGGACAGAAGCGAAAGCAUUUGCCCAAAAAAUGUUUUCAUUAAUCAAGAACGAAAGUUAGAGGUUCGAAGGCGAUCAGAUACCGCCCUAGUUCUAACCAUAAACGAUGCCAGCUAGCGAUCCGCCGAAGUUCCUCCGAUGACUCGGCGGGCAGCUUCCGGGAAACCAAAGCUUUUGGGUUCCGGGGGAAGUAUGGUUGCAAAGCUGAAACUUAAAGGAAUUGACGGAAGGGCACCACCAGGAGUGGAGCCUGCGGCUUAAUUUGACUCAACACGGGAAACCUCACCAGGCCCAGACACCGGAAGGAUUGACAGAUUGAUAGCUCUUUCUUGAUUCGGUGGGUGGUGGUGCAUGGCCGUUCUUAGUUGGUGGAGCGAUUUGUCUGGUUAAUUCCGAUAACGAACGAGACUCUAGCCUGCUAAAUAGGCGUACCUUAUGGUAUCGCGAAGGCCCCCGGCUUCGGCCGGUGGGUUUUUACUACCAACGUACAAACAAAUCUUCUUAGAGGGACAGGCGG
Molecule: ribosomal RNA, 823 nt
Filed under: uncultured eukaryote
Lineage: Eukaryota
Description: SSU rRNA
Rfam family: Eukaryotic small subunit ribosomal RNA
Source: RNAcentral